GAGUGCUUGACUGGCACUUGGGAGAGCCAGAGCUAUGGCUAUGCAGCGCACUGAAGAGUGACUCUCAGACCAGCGAACACCACAGGGUUGCGGCGAGGAUAAAAUGGCGAGCAGGAGGAUGAGUGUGCACGCCGCCUUGGGAUCCCUGCGAGAGGAAAAAAGCCAGGCAUACAGUCUUAGAUGCACUUCUGACUGUUGGCUCUGAAGCGAACAUUUAUGAUUUCCAGGGCCAAUUGCUCCCUUAGGACCUUUCGCUGAAUCAGCAGGGGGAAUCAAGCCAUCCAGAUGAGACUUCUUUCCUGCGGUUGUUUUUCUUCUUUGCAGAGUUUGGCCGGCUUCCUCGAGAUAAUGAAAUCAUGAGAUUGGUAUCGACAGCUCAUUGGCUAGCCUCCACCGGCGCAGCGAGAAAGAGGAAGACUGGGCAUGCGCACUUCCUUCCCUGUAUGUUAUGAGCUGGAACUGGAAAUAGGAAAUGUGCAGACAGGAGUCUCCAAAGACUGCACUGGGGGGGAUGAGAAGCGUGGCCAGCCAUACUAUUAGACCUGUUGAUUUAAGAAACUGUGGCUUAGUGCAUCCCUUCUAGCUCUAGAGAAGUUUUUGGGGUGAGUCAGGACAAAGGGGGCAGGUCAAAAAUCCCAGCAUCUUCUAGUGUAAAGCUCUUACUGCCAGUAACUCAGCUUUAAGAGAAGGGCUUCAAGUUGUUGAAAGUAUGUGUUACAUUAUUAGUAUUACUACAUUGUUGUUGUUGCUGUUGUUGUUGUUUGUUAGUCAUAAAGUCAUGCCCAACCCAUCACGACCCCAUGGACAAAACUCCUCCAGGCUCUCCUGUCCUCCACCA
This is a long non-coding RNA of Varanus komodoensis (Komodo dragon), 838 nucleotides long. RefSeq lists it as uncharacterized. The record is from RefSeq and is a predicted model, not a curated record. NCBI's taxonomy places the organism in Eukaryota, Metazoa, Chordata, Lepidosauria, Squamata, Varanidae. The transcript is spliced from 3 exons.